GCGGGAGUGACGCAGCGGUAGCGUGCCUGCCUUCCAAGCAGGUUGUCGCGGGUUCGAGUCCCGUCUCCCGCUCCA
RNAcentral lists this transfer RNA (75 nucleotides) under Chloroflexota bacterium. Its description in RNAcentral is "Chloroflexi bacterium (sediment metagenome) tRNA-Gly". It matches the Rfam family "tRNA". Rfam says of the family: Transfer RNA (tRNA) molecules are approximately 80 nucleotides in length. Their secondary structure includes four short double-helical elements and three loops (D, anti-codon, and T loops). Lineage: Bacteria; Bacillati; Chloroflexota. The record is from RNAcentral.